Molecule: ribosomal RNA, 654 nt
Filed under: Meyerozyma carpophila
Lineage: Eukaryota; Fungi; Ascomycota; Pichiomycetes; Serinales; Debaryomycetaceae
Description: eukaryotic LSU rRNA
Rfam family: Eukaryotic large subunit ribosomal RNA (bases 128-654)
Source: RNAcentral
UAUUGGCAUGGGUAGUACUGGAUAGUGCUGUCGACCUCUCAAUGUAUUAGGUUUAUCCAACUCGUUGAAUGGUGUGGCGGGAUAUUUCUGGUAUUGUUGGCCCGGCCUUACAACAACCAAACAAGUUUGACCUCAAAUCAGGUAGGAAUACCCGCUGAACUUAAGCAUAUCAAUAAGCGGAGGAAAAGAAACCAACAGGGAUUGCCUUAGUAGCGGCGAGUGAAGCGGCAAAAGCUCAAAUUUGAAAUCUGGCGCCUUCGGUGUCCGAGUUGUAAUUUGAAGAUUGUAACCUUGGGGUUGGCUCUUGUCUAUGUUUCUUGGAACAGGACGUCACAGAGGGUGAGAAUCCCGUGCGAUGAGAUGCCCAAUCCUAUGUAAGGUGCUUUCGAAGAGUCGAGUUGUUUGGGAAUGCAGCUCUAAGUGGGUGGUAAAUUCCAUCUAAAGCUAAAUAUUGGCGAGAGACCGAUAGCGAACAAGUACAGUGAUGGAAAGAUGAAAAGAACUUUGAAAAGAGAGUGAAAAAGUACGUGAAAUUGUUGAAAGGGAAGGGUUUGAGAUCAGACUCGAUAUUUUGUGAGCCUUGCCUUCGUGGCGGGGUGACCCGCAGCUUAUCGGGCCAGCAUCGGUUUGGGCGGUAGGAUAAUGGCGUAGGAA